Molecule: ribosomal RNA, 486 nt
Filed under: uncultured bacterium
Lineage: Bacteria
Description: partial 16S ribosomal RNA
Rfam family: Bacterial small subunit ribosomal RNA
Source: RNAcentral
AUUGAACGCUGGCGGCAUGCCUUACACAUGCAAGUCGAACGGCAGCACGGGUGCUUGCCCCUGGUGGCGAGUGGCGAACGGGUGAGUAAUACAUCGGAACAUGUCCUGUAGUGGGGGAUAGCCCGGCGAAAGCCGGAUUAAUACCGCAUACGAUCUACGGAUGACAGCGGGGGACCUUCGGGCCUCGCGCUGUAGGGUUGGCCGAUGGCUGAUUAGCUAGUUGGGGGGGUAAAGGGCUACCAAGGGGACGAUCAGUAGCUGGUCUGAGAGGGCGACCAGCCACACUGGGAGUGAGACACGGCCCAGACUCCUACGGGAGGCAGCAGUGGGGAAUUUUGGACAAUGGGCGAAAGCCUGAUCCAGCAAUGCCGCGUGUGUGAAGAAGGCCUUCGGGUUGUAAAGCACUUUUGUCCGGAAAGAAAUCCUUGGCCCUAAUACGGUCGGGGGAUGACGGUACCGGAAGAAUAAGCACCGGCUAACUACGUG